GCACCAAUGUUGAAGAGGAAGUUCAAAGAAUAAGAUCUGAGCAUCCUGAUGAUGCUUGUGCCGUGGUGAAUGAGCGUGUGAAAGGUUCAUUGAAGGUCACUAGGGCUUUUGGUGCAGGUUUUCUCAAGCAGCCUAAAUGGAACGAUGCACUUCUAGAGAUGUUCAGAAUAGACUAUAUUGGCAAUUCUCCGUACAUAAAUUGUUUACCAUAUCUCUGCCACCAUAGACUAGGCCCAAAAGAUAGGUUUCUGAUUCUUUCAUCCGAUGGGCUUUAUCAAUACUUUACAAAUGAAGAAGCGAUCAACGAAGUUGAACUUUUCAUAGCAUUGCAACCUGAAGGGGAUCCAGCACAGCAUCUGGUUGAGGAGGUGCUGUUCCGUGCAGCUAAGAAAGCUGGUAUGGAUUUUCAUGAGUUGCUCGAAAUACCACAGGGUGAUCGACGGCGAUACCAUGAUGAUAUUUCUAUCAUUGUUAUUUCUUUAGAGGGGAGGAUAUGGAGAUCAUGUGUAUAAGUUUUAUAAACCACAGAUAGAAGAUAUAGAGGUAUCUGCAACCAUAAAAAAAAUGUCAGGCAUUUCCUUUUUGCCAUUUCUUUCUUUUUUCCUGUUCAUCUCUGUAGCAACAAUUAAGCUCCAGGAAAUGAGCUUCUUAGGAACUUACUUGUGCAUUGUAGUGGGUGGUGAGGAGUGUAAAGUUGUAAAAGCAGCUUUUUGUUG
RNAcentral lists this unclassified non-coding RNA (716 nucleotides) under Hevea brasiliensis (rubber tree). Lineage: Eukaryota; Viridiplantae; Streptophyta; Magnoliopsida; Malpighiales; Euphorbiaceae. The record is from RNAcentral.